UAAUCUAGACAAGAGUUCCUCUUCCGAUU
Molecule: non-coding RNA, 29 nt
Filed under: Rattus norvegicus (Norway rat)
Lineage: Eukaryota; Metazoa; Chordata; Mammalia; Rodentia; Muridae
Source: RNAcentral